Molecule: ribosomal RNA, 405 nt
Filed under: uncultured Psychrobacter sp.
Lineage: Bacteria; Pseudomonadati; Pseudomonadota; Gammaproteobacteria; Moraxellales; Moraxellaceae
Description: bacterial SSU rRNA
Rfam family: Bacterial small subunit ribosomal RNA
Source: RNAcentral
CGGCCGCGUCGACGAAAUACUUAGUGGCGGACGGGUGAGUAACGCGUGAGAAUCUGCCUUCAGGACGGAGACAACAGUUGGAAACGACUGCUAAGCCCCGAUGAACCGAAAGGGGGCAACUUGUUGCUCUCGCUAUUAGAUGAGCCUAAGUCGGAUAGCUAGAUGGUGGGGUAAAGGCCUACCAUGGCGACGAUCUGUAGCUGGUCUGAGAGGAUGAUCAGCCACACCGGGACUGAGACACCGGCCCGGACUCCGUACGGGAGGCAGCAGGUGGGGAAUAUUGGACAAGUGGGGGCCAACCCUGAUCCAGCCAUGCCGCGUGUGUGAAGAAGGUCCUUUUGGUUGUAAAGCUACUUUAAGCAGUGAAGAAGACUCUAUGGUUAACUACCCAUAGACGAUGACAUU